CGGAGGAUCCGAGCGUUAUCCGGAUUAUUGGUUAAGGGUGCGUAGGCGGCACUUAAGUCAGGGUGAAGACGGCAGCUUAACUGUCGCAGUGCCUUUGAUACUGAAGUGCUUGAAUGCGGUUGAAGACGGCGGAAUGAGACAAGUAGCGGUGAAAUGCAUAGAUAUGUCUCAGAACACCGAUUGCGAAGGCAGCUGUCUAAGCCGUUAUUGACGCUGAUGCACGAAAGCGUGGGAUCGAACAGGAUU
Molecule: ribosomal RNA, 246 nt
Filed under: uncultured bacterium
Lineage: Bacteria
Description: partial 16S ribosomal RNA
Rfam family: Bacterial small subunit ribosomal RNA
Source: RNAcentral